UACAGGGGGUGCAAACGUUGCUCGGAAUUAUUGGGCGUAAAGCGCGCGUAGGCGGCUACCUAAGUCGGAUGUGAAAGCCCCUGGCUCAACUGGGGAAGUGCACCCGAAACUGAGUAGCUAGAGUACGAAAGAGGGUCGCGGAAUUCCCGGUGUAGAGGUGAAAUUCGUAGAUAUCGGGAGGAACACCGGUGGCGAAGGCGGCGACCUGGGUCGAUACUGACGCUGAGGCGCGAAAGCGUGGGGAGCAAACAGG
RNAcentral lists this ribosomal RNA (253 nucleotides) under uncultured bacterium. RNAcentral's name for it is "partial 16S ribosomal RNA". It matches the Rfam family "Bacterial small subunit ribosomal RNA", at positions 524 to 776 of the family's 1533-position model. The record is from RNAcentral.